CCUACGGGCGGCAGCAGUGGGGAAUAUUGGACAAUGGGCGAAAGCCUGAUCCAGCCAUGCCGCGUGUGUGAAGAAGGCCUUCGGGUUGUAAAGCACUUUCAGUGGGGAAGAAAGCCUUGGGGCUAAUACCCUCGAGGAAGGACAUCACCCACAGAAGAAGCACCGGCUAACUCCGUGCCAGCAGCCGCGGUAAUACGGAGGGUGCGAGCGUUAAUCGGAAUUACUGGGCGUAAAGCGCGCGUAGGCGGUCUGAUAAGCCGGUUGUGAAAGCCCCGGGCUCAACCUGGGAACGGCAUCCGGAACUGUCAGGCUAGAGUGCAGGAGAGGAAGGUAGAAUUCCCGGUGUAGCGGUGAAAUGCGUAGAGAUCGGGGGGAAUACCAGUGGCGAAGGCGGCCUUCUGGACUGACACUGACGCUGAGGUGCGAAAGCGUGGGUAGCAAACAGGAUUAGAUACCCCAGUAGUC
RNAcentral lists this ribosomal RNA (465 nucleotides) under Vreelandella stevensii. RNAcentral's name for it is "partial 16S ribosomal RNA". It matches the Rfam family "Bacterial small subunit ribosomal RNA", at positions 338 to 795 of the family's 1533-position model. Lineage: Bacteria; Pseudomonadati; Pseudomonadota; Gammaproteobacteria; Oceanospirillales; Halomonadaceae. The record is from RNAcentral.